Molecule: ribosomal RNA, 253 nt
Filed under: uncultured bacterium
Lineage: Bacteria
Description: partial 16S ribosomal RNA
Rfam family: Bacterial small subunit ribosomal RNA
Source: RNAcentral
UACGAAGGGGGCUAGCGUUGUUCGGAAUUACUGGGCGGAAAGCGCACGUAGGCGGAUAUUUAAGUUAGGGGUGAAAUCCCAGGGCUCAACCCUGGAACUGCCUUUAAUACUGGGUAUCUCGAGUCCGAGAGAGGUGAGUGGAAUUCCGAGUGUAGAGGUGAAAUUCGUAGAUAUUCGGAGGAACACCAGUGGCGAAGGCGGCUCACUGGCUCGGUACUGACGCUGAGGUGCGAAAGCGUGGGGAGCAAACAGG